GACGAACGCUGGCGGCGUGCUUAACACAUGCCAGUCGAACGGUGAAGCGAGUGCUUGCACUUGUGGAUCAGUGGCGAACGGGUGAGUAACACGUGAGUAACCUGCCCAUCACUCUGGGAUAAGCACUGGAAACGGUGUCUAAUACUGGAUACGACCAACCCUUGCAUGGGGUGUUGGUGGAAAGAUUUAUCGGUGAUGGAUGGACUCGCGGCCUAUCAGCUUGUUGGUGGGGUAAUGGCCCACCAAGGCGACGACGGGUAGCCGGCCUGAGAGGGUGACCGGCCACACUGGGACUGAGACACGGCCCAGACUCCUACGGGAGGCAGCAGUGGGGAAUAUUGCACAAUGGGCGAAAGCCUGAUGCAGCGACGCCGCGUGAGGGAUGACGGCCUUCGGGUUGUAAACCUCUUUCAGCAGGGAAGAAGCGAAAGUGACGGUACCUGCAGAAGAAGCACCGGCUAACUACGUG
Molecule: ribosomal RNA, 469 nt
Filed under: uncultured bacterium
Lineage: Bacteria
Description: partial 16S ribosomal RNA
Rfam family: Bacterial small subunit ribosomal RNA
Source: RNAcentral